RNAcentral lists this ribosomal RNA (207 nucleotides) under uncultured bacterium. RNAcentral's name for it is "partial 16S ribosomal RNA". It matches the Rfam family "Bacterial small subunit ribosomal RNA", at positions 568 to 774 of the family's 1533-position model. The record is from RNAcentral.
CGUGUAGGCGGUGCGGUAAGUGAGAUGUGAAAUCCCUCGGCUCACCCGAGGAUCUGCAUCUCAUACUGCUGCGCUUGAGUACGGGAGAGGAUGAGGGAAUUCCUGGUGUAGCGGUGAAAUGCGUAGAUAUCAGGAGGAACACCGGUGGCGAAAGCGCUCAUCUGGCCCGAUACUGACGCUGAGGCGCGAAAGCUAGGGGAGCAAACG